Molecule: long non-coding RNA, 885 nt
Filed under: Rattus norvegicus (Norway rat)
Lineage: Eukaryota; Metazoa; Chordata; Mammalia; Rodentia; Muridae
Description: long non-coding RNA NONRATT023805
Source: RNAcentral
UAAAGCAAAAAUCAAUAGAAAAAUAUACAAACUGAGUUACCACAUCGACAAAGGCAGACGGCAGCCCUGGAGUUUAGUUCAGCGCGCUCUGAUGGAAGAGGGAGGCUGGCUGGAUUCCUUUAACCCCAUGCCUCUAGCCAACCACAUGGCCUACCCAAAUUAAACAGUAAUUACCAAGGUUAGGAAAAGGCCUUGUCAGGACAGGUUUGGCCCCAGGCUUAGCUCAGCCUUGACUCUGGUGGCCUCCCCUCCCCUCUCCGAUGCCUAUAAAUGCCCAGCCUGUCCACACCAGCCAGUCCUCAACACCUGAACCAUGUUGGGAAUUACGGUCCUCGCUGCCAUCCUGGCCUGCGGUAAGCGUGGGAGUGGGGACCAGCUGCAUCCAGCUGGCUGUAAGAUCAAGCUGGCCUUGGGGGUGUCCUCUAUUCCCCCAAAAAGGCACUUUUGGGGUCCUAUGUGGGUUCGCCCACUGAGCAUCUGUGUGUCGGCUAAACCUCUUCCAGAUUAGUAGGCUCUGGAGAACGGAUGGAGAGCUCCCUCCAGGCUGUGAGGAUCAGACAGGAGACCCUGAGCAAGGGCCACCAUAGGUGCUUCAUUCUGGGUUCACUCCAGGGAACCAGUGGGCCUGUGUUUCCCCAUCUGUGUCCCCCCCCACCCCAACCCACAUCCCCACCCCUGAUGGCUCUUGGCUCUCCCAUUUUGGUGACAUUCUCCCAGAUCGAAAUGGAGGGUGCGACCCGGUUUGGUUUGGUUUGGUUUGGUUUGGACAAGUAAAAGCUCUUGAUCAGGAAUCCUAAGGACUCUCUAGAUGCAGGAGCAAACUGGACACUGCAUGUACUGGGUCUGCCCCUAUCUCCAUUCAGCGGUGGAGACUCGGAGGUCCAG